Molecule: ribosomal RNA, 411 nt
Filed under: uncultured eukaryote
Lineage: Eukaryota
Description: bacterial SSU rRNA
Rfam family: Eukaryotic small subunit ribosomal RNA
Source: RNAcentral
CAAUAGCGUAUAUUAAAGUUGUUGCAGUUAAAAGCUCGUAGUUGAAUUUCUAGUCAACCGUUAGCUGGCUUCACAGUCGUUAACGAUUGCCUAUCCGACAUUGAACCUGUAUGGUUAUUAAGUUAACCUACUGGCGAACUGUCAUUUUACUUUGAAAAAUUAGAGUGUUUCAGGCAGGCAAUUGCCCGAAUAUCUUAGCAUGGAAUAAUGGAAUAGGACUUUGGUUCAUUUGAUUGGUUAUUGAAUCAGAGUAAUGAUUAAUAGGGACAGUUGGGGGCAUUAGUAUUUAAUUGUCAGAGGUGAAAUUCUUGGUAUUUAAUUAAAGACUAACUUAUGACGAAAGCAUUUGCCAAGGAUUGUUUUCUAAUUUAAUCAAGAAACGAAAGGUUAGGGGAUACAAAGAUGAUUAGA